This 2559-nucleotide long non-coding RNA is filed under the name Mus caroli (Ryukyu mouse). RNAcentral's name for it is "lncRNA (MGP_CAROLIEiJ_G0013246.1)". The record is from RNAcentral. Lineage: Eukaryota; Metazoa; Chordata; Mammalia; Rodentia; Muridae.
ACAAACGACACGGGCUUCCCACUGAAAGCUUUGGGGCUACAGCACUGCCAAUCCCAAGCUCUGUGGCUCUGAGAGUGCAGCCAAUCUUCACUUCAUAAGAUGGCUAUGAGGACAGAUUCCCCCAUCCUAGGUUAAGCCUGAGGUCUGCCCUGGGAGCUCUGCAAAGACCAGUGACAAGAGGAUUACUACUGGAUUCCUGACCUCAAGGAAUUGUUCCAUCUCACAAAGGCACGGGCUACCUCUGAGAGAGCACCUAAAUACACGACCAGCCCAAAAUGAUAAGCGGCAGCUGAGACAGGUGUGUUUGGGUGCUGCAGAAACAUGCCCACAUCCGGGAGCUCUUCAAACUCUUCAGCCAUCUCAAAGAUGGCUGAGCAAUGUUCCUGAUACUUGGUCAAGACUCUGAAUGGCAGGAACGACUGGAAACUGUCUUAGUACAGGCGGUGAGUUGUCCGACCUCCAAGGAGACUCCAAAGCAGCCACCCUUCUUCCCACCCUCGUUGUGACCAUGCUUCCCGGCGCUCUGCACUUCCUAACUCUGUCUCCUGCCAUGUGGCUGUCCGUCCACCACGUCUACCCUCCAUGCCACCUCUUAACAGCAUAGCUUCUAGUCUUUCCUCUGUUCUUCUUUGGGCAGCCACUGAGAUUUACAGCACGGUUGCCCUAGGGUGUCUUAGAAAUAUCUUCACAUAUCUUUUGAGUCCAUUCUCGAAUUCCUUUAUUAAUGAGACUAACCCCAAGAGAGGGCUCUGAUUUCCUCAGUAUCAUCUGGUAUACCAGAUGGGACUCCCCAAAUUCCGGUUACAGUAUCAGAAACAUCUUGGCGGGUGUAUUUUCCUGUAUCUGCCCUGAUAUUUAUAGACUUUAAGCAAUUCUCUAUAGAACAACAAAGUGGUUGGUGGAGACUGAAUAUUCGUAUAACAUUUUAGUAAGGAAGCCAUAAGCUAGUGUCACUAAAGUUUGCGGGUGUAGUGUUUAAAAGUUCCUUCUAAGCAAAAUGAUGAUCACGAAGACUUUAUUUAGAGACAAUUUUUUUUUUUUCCAAAUGAGUUCUAAGAAAUAGGAAAAGCCGAAAGAAACCAGUUGUUUGAGAUGAUUUCUGGGCCACUGACAAAGGCUUUUAUUCUUUGAAGAAUAGACAGAGAAUGGCCACUUGUGUAAUCCAGAUAUAGCACCUUAUAUACAUGAAACAGAGUUAAAUAUAGAGGAUGAUGGGUUAAAAAUUAGACCGCUUCUAAAGAGCAACAAUAUACAGCACAGCUUCUUCAAGGUUAAUAUACCCUUUGACAAGAAUUUAAAAUUCAUUUGAGGGAAGAAAAAACGUUCACACCAUCAACUUACACACUUUUAUCACUCCCAUCACGGCUGUCACCUCCACAACUCUUACCACGAUCACCGCCGCUUCAAGAACAACCAUCAUUGCCAUUACCACCACCACCAUCUCCACCAAGACCACCUCCUACCAACACCGUCAGCUACACCUUUCCUAAAACCAUUCCCAUCACCAUCACUACAACCUGUGCUGUCACCACCACCGUCACUGCCACUUCCACCAUUCUGAGUGCUCUGUGCACUGCAGGUGCCAAUGGAGACAGCAUUCCAUCAUGAGUUCACACAGGAGGAAGGAGAAAGGAGACCCCACUAUUCAACAAGGUGUCUGUUGGGGGAAAAACAGGGAAGAUACUACAUCUCAUCAGUUGUAAGUAUACUUCCUGGGGUAGGUUUUGAGCCUCAAAGGUGAGAAGCCCCAGGAGACCUCAUGUGCCUAGAUAAGGGAAACCCAAAGCCUGGCCCUGCAACAUCAGCAUCACCUGGCAAACAGAUGCUCAACGUACAGCCUCAACCUUGACUCAUCCGCCCUUCCUCAGGGCCCGGGGUAAUGCUACCAGAUCUCGCUUGGUCCACAUACUGCACAGCUCCCACACAACAAGACAGCCAUUGGUCACCCUGAGCAGGGUAUCCUGUGAGCUAGAUGGGACGUGCAGCUGGAAAGACUUGCUGAAGACAUGCUGUGGGGCUGUGAGGCUUGAUCCCAGUUUCUCCAUUUGUUAAUGCUGUGAACUCAGUCCCCCAGGGCCUCAGACUCCAUUUGCCAUAGGGCCCAGGCUGGUAGAAAUUAAACAGGGUUCUGAAUGAAAGCAGUAAGCUGCUCUAGCACAUCGGACGCCCCUCACAUGCACAGUGAGCACUCAGCGCAUCGCUGCCAGCACCUGACUACAGAGCACACUCAGGAGCACUGAGCACUUGGCCAUUGCCGAUGUGCCGCACACAGAGAUGGGAGUAAGUAUGGCGGGUGAGGGUCUGGUGUGAUGCGAGAGGACUCCAGGAUGAGAACUGCUUAUUGUUUCCAUUUUCCCUAGUCUACAAACAAUUCUGAUACUCGGGACUUCAAAGGAAAUGAAGAAACCUAGGAAAAUAUUUCUUCCAUGUCAAUUUUAAAUCCCACCAACCUUCUCUCUCUAUAAUUACAGCUGUCAGUGUUGGCAUCAAGGGAAAACGGUGUCCUUGGCUUUAAAAUGUGGCCAUUAGGGACUCAGUUAAAAAUAAAUUCUCUUCCCG